This 207-nucleotide ribosomal RNA is filed under the name uncultured bacterium. RNAcentral describes it as "partial 16S ribosomal RNA". It matches the Rfam family "Bacterial small subunit ribosomal RNA", at positions 568 to 774 of the family's 1533-position model. The record is from RNAcentral.
UCUGUAGGCGGUGUGGUAAGUCAGAUGUGAAAUCCCGGGGCUCAACCCCGGAACUGCAUCCGAUACUGCCACACUUGAGGGUCGGAGGGGAGUCUGGAAUUCUCGGUGUAGCAGUGAAAUGCGUAGAUAUCGAGAGGAACACUCGUGGCGAAGGCGAGACUCUGGACGACACCUGACGCUGAGAGACGAAGGCCAGGGUAGCGAAAA